Molecule: unclassified non-coding RNA, 1993 nt
Filed under: Zea mays
Lineage: Eukaryota; Viridiplantae; Streptophyta; Magnoliopsida; Poales; Poaceae
Description: misc RNA Zm00001eb180580
Source: RNAcentral
UCCCCUGCUCCUUCUCCUCCCCCUGGUCGCGCCACCCUCUGCUCCCACUGGUCGCGCCGCCGCCAGGGCUCCAGCGCCGCCACCAGAGCUCCAGCGCGCGCCGCUAGGGCUCCACCGCCGCCGGCCCAUGUUCAGCGUCGCCGGCCCAUCUCCCCCAGCCGCGACCGCGCCGCCCCUCUCUUCUCCCUGCCGCGCCGCCGCGCACCGCGUUCCCCAGGGCGCCGCGCUCCCCUAGGCGCCGCCGUUCCCUGCCAGCCCCGUGCCUCUAGCCGCCAGGGUCGCGCGCCAGCGCCAGGAAGCCGCCGCGCCAGCCGCCCAGCCAGGAAGCCGCCCCUCCAGCCGCUGCGCCAGGAAGCCGCUGCGCCAGGGCCGCGCGCCGCCCCACGCCCCGACGCGACUCCGCGCCUUCUCCCUCUCUUCAGGGUCGCCGUCGGCCAACUCCUGUCUGCGGACCGGGCACCUGCGCCGUCUCCUCCAGCCGCCGGUGCCGCGCGCACCCUGUCCUGUCGCGCCCGCGCCGCCGAACCCCCUCCCAUCGCGCCUGCACCGUCGGAUCUGUCUCCUUCCGCGCCAGCGCCGCCGGAUCCGUCCCGGUCGGCUUCUCCCUGCCGCCUCCUCUUCACUUGCCGUCAGGCGCUGUCAGCCCCAACUCCCAGCCAAGCCGCCCGACCCGAUCCUACUGGCAGCGUGCGCCCUUCUGGACACCCCCACCAAUUCCAUGGCGUCACCCCCGCUGUACAUGAGCUUACCCUCGCCCGUCGUUCCUGUGACUGUGCAUGCCCUCCUCCACAACGGCCAGCUCAUUCGGGGCAUGUUCGUGUCCUUCGAUCCAGUCUGGAACCCUAUUCUCCGGGACUGCGUCGAGAUCCACCCUCAGGCGGGCCGUCACGUGCCUGGACCGCUUGUUUUCCCAUGUGCUGCGAUUGCCUCCCUAGCGGUUGAGCCCGUGUCAUCUCCCUCCCUCCCUAGCGCCUCUAUCGGGGCACCUUCUUUAGCCCUCUCCGCUCACACCGUACCUUCGCCACCACCACCUCCCCCUCUCACCACCGAUUGGGUGGUUGACUCCGGGGCCUCCUUCCACACUACCCCCACAACUAGUUCGUUACUCCACUCCCAUCCACCACACCCCUCACAUCCUUCCUCCAUCGUCGUUGGCAACGGUUCCACCCUUCCGGUCACCUCAGUAGGUGCAUCGGUUCUUCCAGGACCAUUCCGCCUUAACGACGUCCUUGUCGCUCCUGGACUGACUCAUCCCCUCCUCUCGGUUCGUCGCUUCACUAGUGACAACCAGUGCUCUAUGGAGUUCGACCCUUGGGGUCUCACCAUACGCCAUCUUCCCACACAUGCUGUACUCGCUCGCUGUGACAGCUCCGGCCCCCCUCUAUUUUCUUCACUUGCCCACCACUCCCCACACCAGAGUAGCCUCAUCUCCUGCUCUUGCUACUACCACCACCUCCUCCGCCAUUUGGCACCGUCGCCUAGGGCACCCUGGACCUGACGUCCUGUCGCAGCUUGCCGGCCACUCUGACAUACCCUAUACUCGGGGCUCUUCUGAGCACCUCUGCCAUGCUUGUCAGCUUGGCCGUCACUCCCGUCUUCCUUUUUCCACCUCCACGUCCAGGGCUGUUCAGGCCUUUUGAUAGUCGCCUAGAGGGGGGGUGAAUAGGGCGAAACUGAAAUUUACAAAUAUAAACACAACUACAAGCCGGGUUAGCGUUAGAAAUAUAAAUGAGUCCGCGAGAGAGGGCGCAAAACAAAUCGCAAGCAAAUGAAGAGUGUGACACGCGGAUUUGUUUUACCGAGGUUCGGUUCUCGCAAACCUACUCCCCGUUGAGGAGGCCACAAAGGCCGGGUCUCUUUCAACCCUUCCCUCUCUCAAACGGUCCCUCGGACCGAGUGAGCUUCUCUUCUCAAAUCAAAGCCGGGAACAAAACUUCCCCGCAAGGGCCACCACACAAUUGGUGCCUCUUGCCUUGAUUACAAUGGAACUUUG